GACGAACGCUGGCGGCGUGCUUAACACAUGCAAGUCGAACGGAAAGGCCCUGCUUGCAGGGUGCUCGAGUGGCGAACGGGUGAGUAACACGUGGGUGAUCUGCCCCUUACUUUGGGAUAAGCCUGGGAAACUGGGUCUAAUACUGGAUAGGACCAUGCUGUAGGCGGUGUGGUGGAAAGAUUAGUUUCGGUAAGGGAUGAGCUCGCGGCCUAUCAGCUUGUUGGUGGGGUAAUGGCCUACCAAGGCGUCGACGGGUAGCCGGCCUGGGAGGGUGGACGGCCACAUUGGGACUGAGAUACGGCCCAGACUCCUACGGGAGGCAGCAGUGGGGAAUAUUGCACAAUGGGCGCAAGCCUGAUGCAGCGACGCCGCGUGGGGGAUGACGGCCUUCGGGUUGUAAACUCCUUUCAGCCAUGACGAAGCCUUCGGGUGACGGUAGUGGUAGAAGAAGCACCGGCUAACUACGU
RNAcentral lists this ribosomal RNA (467 nucleotides) under uncultured bacterium. RNAcentral describes it as "partial 16S ribosomal RNA". It matches the Rfam family "Bacterial small subunit ribosomal RNA", at positions 28 to 506 of the family's 1533-position model. The record is from RNAcentral.